AUUGAACGCUGGCGGCAUGCUUUACACAUGCAAGUCGAACGGUAACAGGCCUUCGGGUGCUGACGAGUGGCGAACGGGUGAGUAAUGCAUCGGAACGUGCCCAGAGGUGGGGGAUAACGCAGCGAAAGCUGUGCUGAUACCGCAUGUGAUCUGAGGAUGAAAGCGGGGGACCAGGCAGCAAUGUUUGGCCUCGCGCCUUUGGAGCGGCCGAUGUCAGAUUAGGUAGUUGGUGGGGUAAAGGCCUACCAAGCCGACGAUCUGUAGCUGGUCUGAGAGGACGACCAGCCACACUGGGACUGAGACACGGCCCAGACUCCUACGGGAGGCAGCAGUGGGGAAUUUUGGACAAUGGGCGCAAGCCUGAUCCAGCAAUGCCGCGUGCGGGAAGAAGGCCUUCGGGUUGUAAACCGCUUUUGUACGGAACGAAAAGGCUCUGGCUAAUACCUGGGGCUGAUGACGGUACCGUAAGAAUAAGCACCGGCUAACUACGU
Molecule: ribosomal RNA, 491 nt
Filed under: uncultured bacterium
Lineage: Bacteria
Description: partial 16S ribosomal RNA
Rfam family: Bacterial small subunit ribosomal RNA
Source: RNAcentral